Molecule: ribosomal RNA, 497 nt
Filed under: uncultured bacterium
Lineage: Bacteria
Description: partial 16S ribosomal RNA
Rfam family: Bacterial small subunit ribosomal RNA
Source: RNAcentral
GAUGAACGCUGGCGGCGUGCCUAAUACAUGCAAGUCGAGCGAACAGAUGAGGAGCUUGCUCCUCUGACGUUAGCGGCGGACGGGUGAGUAACACGUGGAUAACCUACCUAUAAGACUGGGAUAACUUCGGGAAACCGGAGCUAAUACCGGAUAAUAUAUUGAACCGCAUGGUUCAAUAGUGAAAGACGGUUUUGCUGUCACUUAUAGAUGGAUCCGCGCCGCAUUAGCUAGUUGGUAAGGUAACGGCUUACCAAGGCAACGAUGCGUAGCCGACCUGAGAGGGUGAUCGGCCACACUGGAACUGAGACACGGUCCAGACUCCUACGGGAGGCAGCAGUAGGGAAUCUUCCGCAAAGGGCGAAAGCCUGACGGAGCAACGCCGCGUGAGUGAUGAAGGUCUUCGGAUCGUAAAACUCUGUUAUUAGGGAAGAACAAAUGUGUAAGUAACUAUGCCCGUCUUGACGGUACCUAAUCAGAAAGCCACGGCUAACUACGUG